UACUCGAGUGGCGAACGGGUGAGUAACACGUGGGUGAUCUGCCCUGCACUUCGGGAUAAGCUUGGGAAACUGGGUCUAAUACCGGAUAGGAGCCAUCUUUAGUGUGGUGGUUGGAAAGCUUUUUCGGUGUAGGAUGAGCUCGCGGCCUAUCAGCUUAUUGGUGGGGUAAUGGCCUACCAAGGCGGCGACGGGUAGCCGGCCUGAGAGGGUGUACGGCCACAUUGGGACUGAGAUACGGCCCAG
RNAcentral lists this ribosomal RNA (243 nucleotides) under uncultured Actinomycetales bacterium. RNAcentral describes it as "partial 16S ribosomal RNA". It matches the Rfam family "Bacterial small subunit ribosomal RNA", at positions 88 to 334 of the family's 1533-position model. The record is from RNAcentral. Lineage: Bacteria; Bacillati; Actinomycetota; Actinomycetes; Actinomycetales.